GACGAACGCUGGCGGCGUGCUUAACACAUGCAAGUCGAACGGAAAGGCCCUGCUUUUGUGGGGUGCUCGAGUGGCGAACGGGUGAGUAACACGUGAGUAACCUGCCCUUGACUUUGGGAUAACUUCAGGAAACUGGGGCUAAUACCGGAUAGGAGCUCCUGCUGCAUGGUGGGGGUUGGAAAGUUUCGGCGGUUGGGGAUGGACUCGCGGCUUAUCAGCUUGUUGGUGGGGUAGUGGCUUACCAAGGCUUUGACGGGUAGCCGGCCUGAGAGGGUGACCGGCCACAAUGGGACUGAGGUACGGCCCAGACUCCUACGGGAGGCAACAGGGGGGAAUAUUGCACAAUGGGCGGAAGCCUGAUGCAGCAACGCCGCGUGCGGGAUGACGGCCUUCGGGUUGUAAACCGCUUUCGCCUGUGACGAAGCGGGAGUGACGGUAAUGGGUAAAGAAGCACCGGCUAACUACGUG
RNAcentral lists this ribosomal RNA (468 nucleotides) under uncultured bacterium. RNAcentral's name for it is "partial 16S ribosomal RNA". It matches the Rfam family "Bacterial small subunit ribosomal RNA", at positions 28 to 507 of the family's 1533-position model. The record is from RNAcentral.